GCAUCUGCUCAGCUCCCAUGAGGCUCCACAUUGGUCUGAAGGGAAGAGGGAGCAAGAACAGGAACGGAGUGCCUAAUAACUGCUUCCAUGACAACCAGAAGGACCAAAGAGGCUCACACCCAGUGGGGCAGGCCCUGCAAAGGUGACUGCAGCACACUGGAGACGGCAUCGCCCCUUCAGCCUGGCAGCUGGAGCCUUAGGGCUCCAGUGCCCAGCUGUCCUCUCCCCAGAACUGAAGGACAAGGUGGUGGCCACAUGUAUGGAUUCUCUCUGACCCAGCCU
This 282-nucleotide long non-coding RNA is filed under the name Cavia porcellus (domestic guinea pig). RNAcentral describes it as "lncRNA (ENSCPOG00000034584.1)". Lineage: Eukaryota; Metazoa; Chordata; Mammalia; Rodentia; Caviidae. The record is from RNAcentral.